AGCAUAGCUCUGCGCUGCGGAAUUUGCGAAAUCAGCACAUGAUCACAUUAGAAUCAAGGCCAAUAAAACCAAAGUCUAUUAAAGCAGGUCGGCUGACUGCACCUUUCAUGAGUCCAUCGUGCGCCACCCUCUCAACAUCCUUGUGAGCUUGCAGCUUCUGGAAAUCUACCUUGGCCUUCUCGAACUCAGCCUCAAAAUGCAUUGCCCUCGCGUGCCAGCACUCGGCAUGGAGGAUUUUUU
RNAcentral lists this long non-coding RNA (240 nucleotides) under Setaria italica (foxtail millet). RNAcentral describes it as "long non-coding RNA (SITA_LNC006922)". Lineage: Eukaryota; Viridiplantae; Streptophyta; Magnoliopsida; Poales; Poaceae. The record is from RNAcentral.